RNAcentral lists this ribosomal RNA (404 nucleotides) under uncultured bacterium. RNAcentral describes it as "bacterial SSU rRNA". It matches the Rfam family "Bacterial small subunit ribosomal RNA", at positions 355 to 776 of the family's 1533-position model. The record is from RNAcentral.
UGGGGAAUAUUGCACAAUGGGGGAAACCCUGAUGCAGCGAUGCCGCGUGGAGGAAGAAGGUUUUCGGAUUGUAAACUCCUGUCUAAGGGGACGAUAAUGACGGUACCCUUAAAGAAAGCUCCGGCUAACUACGUGCCAGCAGCCGCGGUAAUACGUAGGGAGCGAGCGUUGUCCGGAAUUACUGGGUGUAAAGGGAGCGUAGGCGGGAUGGCAAGUCAGAUGUGAAAACUAUGGGCUCAACCCAUAGACUGCAUUUGAAACUGCUGUUCUUGAGUGAGGUAGAGGUAAGCGGAAUUCCUGGUGUAGCGGUGAAAUGCGUAGAGAUCAGGAGGAACAUCGGUGGCGAAGGCGGCUUACUGGGCCUUUACUGACGCUGAGGCUCGAAAGCGUGGGGAGCAAACAGG